RNAcentral lists this unclassified non-coding RNA (410 nucleotides) under Hevea brasiliensis (rubber tree). The record is from RNAcentral. Lineage: Eukaryota; Viridiplantae; Streptophyta; Magnoliopsida; Malpighiales; Euphorbiaceae.
AUGGCCAGAUUUGUAAGGAAGAAGCAUGCAGCAAUCUUUGGCUGUCUAUUUGGUGCUCCUGGAGGAGCUGCUUGUGUAGUUCCACCACCUGGGCUGGAAGAUGGAACUCUCGCAGGUACGGAGGGCAAAGGUGACUCUGUCACAUCAUUCUCUGUUAGCACUGGGUUAGGAGCCUCAGCUGGUGGCAAGUUUUCACGUGUAAUUAGUUGCAUGAGACUGCCUGGCUGAACAGAGGCCAUGUAAGGAGGCGUGCUGUUGCCCAAAUUUAAACAACGGUUCUUUUUGUAUCUAGCUGAUGUUCGAGGGAAGUCUGUGAUAACACCACUAACGUUGGCACCCAUGACAUAGGAGUUAACCUCCACAUUGGCAUCCGAGAAGAAAUCCCAUGCUUGAGAUACAAAUUCAUUGCU